UAAAAUUUUUGGAUACUCUUUCUUAAGUCUUAAGCCAAAAACCAAUUGGCACAAGCGAAAAAACACCAUAAACAUAACGAGUUUCAUUCAAGGUUCUCCAAUUUGAGUCUCUGAGCCUGAUGACCUCCUUUGUUUCCCCUAUAGCCCUAUAUUCCUAAUUAGGCAACAUUUUGUUUUCACGUCCGUAUUGUUCACUUCAAGCUCCGGAAACUUUUCAAAGAAAACGUUUGUUGGGUUCCUUGGAUUUUGAUGGCUACCAAUAAUUGGAGGCCUCCUCAAGUUAGAGAGCCCCCCAUGGAUGCAGGCAAUUGGGGGAGUCAACUGCAGCUAGAGUCAAGGCCAAGAAUUGUCAACAUGAUAAUGGAUGCAUUGAAGAGGCAUUUCCCCUGCUCUGGUCAAGAGAGCUCACCGGAGCUCAAGAAAAUUGCUGUAAGGUUUGAGGAAAUGAUUUAUACUGCUGCCACAAGGGAGUCGGAUUAUUUUGAGAAAAUUGCUCUGAAGAUAUACUCACUGGAGACCAGAUCUCAGAAUGCAAUAGAAAAUUCUUCACCAAUUAACUCUGCUGGUAAUAUCAACAGGCCCCCUGAUCCAGAUUCCGCAGCCCAGACUGGACAUGCAACUAGGGGUGAUUGGCAAGAGGUGGUCUAUCAAAAAGCAAACAUGAAUUCCAUUCAGUCAAAUUCUGGUAUGCUUCAACACCAGCAUAUAAAACAACAGCAGGAGCAGGAAUUCAAUUAUGUAAAUGAGUUAAAGAUGAGACGAGCUGCAGGCCAGUGUGCUUUUUCCCAUCAGCAAUUGAAAUCAGGACCUCCAUUUCCUAUUUCAUCAACAACCCAAUUCCUUCAGGCUGCAUCCCCUAAAAUUUCGCAACAUUCUUCACCCCAAAAUGACCAGCAGAAUCUACUGGCUCACACAAAAGCUGGAACCUCUAGUUCCCCAUUUGUCAUCCCAUCUCCUUCAACUCCGAUGGCUCCAUCCUCUGUGCCAGGGGAUUCUGAGAAACCCUCCUCGCUUGCAAAUGCUGGGAAGAUUGGGCAGCUACAAGCAACUGUUGUCGGAUCACAGAUCCAGUCCCUUGCCAUUGGCACCCCUGGGAUAUCAGCCUCUCCUUUGCUUGCUGAAUUUAGUGUACCAGACGGUACUCAUGUUAAUGCUUUGUCAACUAUUUCUGGCAAGUCAAAUGUUACAGAGCAGCCUCUUGAACGGUUGAUUAAAGCGGUGAAAUCGAUGUCUUCAAAUGCAUUGAGUGCCUCAGUCAGUGACAUUGGCUCAGUAGUGAGUAUGAGUAGGAUAGCAGGGUCAGCACCAGGCAAGGGAUCUAGAGAUGCAGUUGGUGAGGAUUUGAUUACCAUGACAAAGUGUUGUCUUCAAGGAAGGAAUGUUUUGACUCGUGAUGGAACAAAUGGGUCAGGAAAAUAAGGCGCUUCACUAGUGCCGUGCCCUUAAAUGUUGUGCCAUCAGCUGGCAAUGAUUGUUUCAGGCAGUUGGCCAGUUCAGAGACAUCUGACCUGGAGUCAACCGUAACAUCUCGUAUCAAGAGGCCUAGGAUUGAGGCUAAUCAUGCUCUUUUGGAAGAAAUAAGAGAAAUAAGGCAGCGGUUGAUCAACACAGUUGUUGAUAUCAGUGAUGAAGAUGAUGACCCUAGUGCACCUACUGCUGAUGGGGGUAAAGGAACCAUUUUCAAGUGCUUUUUUGAUGCUGUGGCUUUCGGUCUGGACUUGAAAUCGCAGUAUGCUUCAGCACAGAUGUCACCAAUUCAUCCAUUAAGACUGCUUGUUCCCAGCAAUUAUCCCAACUGCUCUCCAAUGCUCUUGGACAAGUUUCCAGUUGAAGUCAGUAAGGAGUAUGAAGAUCUUUCUGUGAAAGCAAAGUCAAAGUUUAGCAUAUCUCUACGAAGUAUUUCAGAACCCAUGUCCCUUGGGGAGAUAGCAAGGACCUGGGAUGUUUGUGCAUGUGCAGUUAUUUCCGAGCAUGCGCAGCAGAGUGGUGGAGGCAGUUUUAGCUCAAGGUAUGGGACAUGGGAGAACUGCUUGGGUGCUGCUUGAUCAUCUCUCUUCAGACCUGAAAAAGCUAGUCCAAGGGUCGUUAUCUAAACCGUGAUGCAUAGUUUUUCUACCGCUUUUUUGCUGCAACGAUGAAGCAGGUUUAGGAUAGUCUGCAUGUAUAGGAGGAAUCUGUGAUGUUUUGUAUAUGGUCAGAUUUUCCGAAGUGAAUAAUCUUGGGAUAGUUCUUGUUGGAUUUUUCCAAGGUAACUUCUGUGUGUUGUAGUUUUGAUACUGUAAAUCAUCUGUGAUCUGUCUGUAUGUUUUCGUUGGGUUAUGCCGCAUUAUGCACUAUUCUGCUACGUCUGCUUGUAACAAAAUUGUAUCAAUAUUCUGCCUUCUGCAGGACUCGUGUCAUGACCGCCCCCAGCAGUAAUAAUGUGUGAACUGUCACAAUGUGAAUCGGUUCGUUAAUUUGUUUUUCCCCCCUUUUAAGGGAGAGAAAGGGGAUAUGGAUUGUUUAUGUAAAAAAUGGAGAUAUGAAUCUUCUCGGUUUUUUGUUGUUCUUAUUUAAACUUAUAUGUUCUACGGCUGCAUUUGGAUCGGGGAAAGAAAUUCACUCUCAUUUAUUUUCCAAA
RNA transcript from Prunus dulcis (almond), 2620 nucleotides. It is a transcript of the gene named mediator of RNA polymerase II transcription subunit 15a-like, with no coding region annotated. The transcript has 10 exons. The record is from RefSeq and is a predicted model, not a curated record. NCBI's taxonomy places the organism in Eukaryota, Viridiplantae, Streptophyta, Magnoliopsida, Rosales, Rosaceae.